RNAcentral lists this ribosomal RNA (427 nucleotides) under uncultured beta proteobacterium. RNAcentral's name for it is "bacterial SSU rRNA". It matches the Rfam family "Bacterial small subunit ribosomal RNA", at positions 355 to 774 of the family's 1533-position model. Lineage: Bacteria; Pseudomonadati; Pseudomonadota; Betaproteobacteria. The record is from RNAcentral.
UGGGGAAUUUUGGACAAUGGGCGAAAGCCUGAUCCAGCCAUGCCGCGUGAGUGAAGAAGGCCUUCGGGUUGUAAAGCUCUUUUAGUCGGAAAGAAAGAGUCGCGAUGAAUAAUUGUGAUUUAUGACGGUACCGACAGAAAAAGCACCGGCUAACUACGUGCCAGCAGCCGCGGUAAUACGUAGGGUGCGAGCGUUAAUCGGAAUUACUGGGCGUAAAGGGUGCGCAGGCGGUUUUGCAAGUCAGAUGUGAAAGCCCCGGGCUUAACCUGGGAAUUGCGUUUGAAACUACAAGGCUAGAGUGCAGCAGAGGGGAGUGGAAUUCCAUGUGUAGCAGUGAAAUGCGUAGAGAUGUGGAAGAACACCGAUGGCGAAGGCAGCUCCCUGGGUUGACACUGACGCUCAUGCACGAAAGCGUGGGGAGCAAACA